This 962-nucleotide long non-coding RNA is filed under the name Gallus gallus (chicken). Its description in RNAcentral is "long non-coding RNA NONGGAT003782". The record is from RNAcentral. Lineage: Eukaryota; Metazoa; Chordata; Aves; Galliformes; Phasianidae.
UGUCUGUACAGUAUCAUAGCUUUAGCUAUAGAUAAAUCACAAAAAAUGGCCAUCAGGGACUUUAUCUUCAGCACAUAGAAAGCACCCCAAUUUGUUUUUGCCUUGAAGACUGCCACUGGCUGCCCAUAGAGGCUGUGAAGCCUCCAGGCUGGGAGAUACUCAAAGCUCAGCUGGAUGCAGUCUACAGGUGUUAGGAGGAAAUUCUUCAUACAGAAGAGGUCGUUGAGGCAUAGGCACUGCUGCUCAGAGCUCUGGGUGCCUCAUUUCGGGAGGCACUCACGGCGAGUUUCGACGUGGCGCUGAGCAGCCUGAGCUGCUGGGGGGCAGCCCUGCCCACGGCACGGGGUGGGAACUGGGUGGGCUUUAAGGUAAUUACAACCCACGCCAUUUGGUGAUACAAUUCCACGAUAUGAGAAGCCUGCUUGGCACCAGGAGUGGGCAGGUGGCGGCCAUGCUCGCAGAGUAAGACGCAGAAUGCCCGAGGAAGGGCAGGACCCGGCGAGCGGCCGGACUCAUGGCAGGGCCGCGCCACCCGCUUCCCGCCCGAGAUGGCGGCCGGCGCCGAGCGCCAUGUUCCGUGGCAGCCGGCGGCGACACCUAGCGAGCGAGCGACAGGCUGCGGCCGGGGAGCGAGCCCAACUUCGGCUCUCAACUUUGUUUUCGCUGCAGUAAACGCUGACAGAAGCGUCGGGGACAUCUGUGGCGUGACAGCAGACUUCCUUCUCUGCCGGGAACUGCACUGAGCCCUGUGGGAUCACCACUUCAGUAUUCCAGAAGGAAGCAAUGGAAGACUUCAGUUACCUGUGAACAGACUUGUCCUAUGAAGUAUUACAGCACUUUUCUGCUGUUCUGCCAGCUCUGCUGUUUGUCAGGCUUUGCAGGAGAAAGCCAGCUGUCCUGUUAAAUUACCAGUCUUUUCAAGAGGAAGUCAACUUCAGCGUUCUUUUAACUGAUAGAUAAAC